GCAAGUAAAAAAUAGAAUAAGUAAAUGAUAAUGUGUGUGUAGGUAUGUGAGGUUGAUUGAUGAUACUCUCUAGUAACCAUAUCAGAAAUUCUUGUGCUACUUUGUAGAUGCGUUGGAGUUUUUUUCCAAAGAGGAAGGGGUUGAUUUAGUAGAGUAUCAACGAGUUUUCCCUUCAGCAAGAACCAAUGUUUAUCGAAUCAAUAGGAGAAGCACACAAUUAAUCAUCGACUGUUAUUGCACAAACCGCUCGGUGUUAUCAUUCAGUUCAUGGAUUCAUGGAAGAAGAGAAGAGAAUAAUGAUGCUCUGAGUGGAAUCAAUAUUUUCUUUCGAAACCAUGGUUGAAUUCAACAAACCAUGGCUAGCAUUCGAGCUCAUGGGAAGGAAGGCAGUGUAGUUUUCUUCAUCGGAGACG
This 413-nucleotide long non-coding RNA is filed under the name Hordeum vulgare. Its description in RNAcentral is "long non-coding RNA (HVUL_LNC006788)". The record is from RNAcentral. Lineage: Eukaryota; Viridiplantae; Streptophyta; Magnoliopsida; Poales; Poaceae.